GAGGAGAGGUUAAACCAACGAGAACUGCUAAUUCUCGCAUCUGGGCUUAAAAUCCCAGUCCCCUUA
This 66-nucleotide transfer RNA is filed under the name Jynx ruficollis (rufous-necked wryneck). Its description in RNAcentral is "tRNA-Ser". Lineage: Eukaryota; Metazoa; Chordata; Aves; Piciformes; Picidae. The record is from RNAcentral.